This 1212-nucleotide long non-coding RNA is filed under the name Malus domestica (apple). Its description in RNAcentral is "long non-coding RNA (MDOM_LNC017164)". The record is from RNAcentral. Lineage: Eukaryota; Viridiplantae; Streptophyta; Magnoliopsida; Rosales; Rosaceae.
GUUAUCUCCAUUGGCAAAGGAAAAGCUUGAUUGUAUUCCGGGUGCAGCCUUGCAAAUGCAGAGAGAAAGGCAAUGGUACAAGGUUAGAAUUAUUUUAUAUUAUUUUUGUAGGCUUAUUUAUAUCUAUGGCCUAACUCCGCCUGUGUAAGUUUAUCUCACAUUGCCGGUCCCAAGCCCGGAUAAAGGAGGAGGGGGAGGGCGUCAGGUAGUCGACAGCCGGCACUCCUCGGUUACGUCGAAUCCUUAUGAAAAUGAAUCCAGAACGAAAUCGCGCAAUGGCGUUCUAGGAUUCAUAUAGCCGACCCCACUUAGUGGGAAAAGGCUUUGUUGUUGUUGUAUUUAUAUCUAUGGCCUCUCAAAAUCAAUCCAAGGUACUCAACCUCACGAAAUUCAAAUGGAAACUCUGGUUCAUGUCCCUCGUUACCCAGAAUUUUAGAUUGAAACUUUAUUAAUAAAUAAUUUGAUCGAAGAACAAAAUACUGAAUAUUUGUGUUAAUUAAGAAAUUUAAUUAUGAAAAUUAAUAAUUCUUUGUAAAAUCAUGGAAGUUUUAUUUUUAAAUUUAUUAUUAUUAUUAUUAUUUUGGAGAGAGGGGGAGAUGUUUGAAACUAUUAUAAUAAUUUAGCGAAGGGGGAAGUUUUGAACCCAGGAUGCUAGGACAACUUGGAAAGGUCAACACCAAAUAAGGAUUUAUAAUUUUUUUUCCUCAAAUUUGAAUUGUGUGAAUUCUCAGGAAAAAAAAUAAUUUUAAAUAUGGUUACGUGUUAAACAUUGAUACAUUUUACGUAUAAUACAGUGAUACCUUUUUUUAUGAAAGAAUUGGUGCAUUAUAAAUAUAUGAAUGGGUUUAAAUAAAAGACUAAAAAAAUUUAGUACAAUCAAGAGUUUAAAAAUAUUGGUACAAAAAGAAAUUAAAUGUACGGAGUACAAAUUAAAACUAAAAAAAAAUGGUAUUUUAAAAAUGGUUGCAAAUAAAGAAAUAGGUUCAAAUUAAAAAGAAAAAUAUAUGAUACAAAAUUUAACAAAAAAAUAUAAAUAUACCAAAUCAAACCUUUCUAACACUAAAUAAAUGUAUUUGAAAAUGAUUAAAUAAUUUUUAAUUGUAAAAUUUAAAUAUGCUAAUAUGUAAAUAUUUAAUUAAAAAUGAUGUGGAUAUAAAAGCCAAAGGGUCAUAAAAAAUUGGAAGAAAACAAAUAUUUUUAAUCGAUGAAAUA